Long non-coding RNA from Papaver somniferum (opium poppy), 2931 nucleotides. RefSeq lists it as uncharacterized. The transcript has 2 exons. The record is from RefSeq and is a predicted model, not a curated record. Lineage: Eukaryota; Viridiplantae; Streptophyta; Magnoliopsida; Ranunculales; Papaveraceae.
CCUCUCAGAAUCUAGUGUUUGAUAUUGUUUUCCAGAUCCGAACGAAACGAAUCUAACGAUCCCUCUUCUCUUUUUUCUAUUUCCGGCAUCACCACCACCCCCUCUGCCAUUACCAUCACCUUACCGUCACCACCAUCCCCAUCUCUGCCACCACCAUCAUCUUUAUCCCGACCACCGCAACCACCACAACCAUCUCUAUCUCCUCUAUCAAUUACAUUUUAAAAUUUUAGAGAAAAAUAUUUUCUUGGUCGUAAAUCAAUUUCAGAGAAAAAUCAUCAUCAACAGCUUAUAUUCUUCUUUUUCUUCCUAUACUCCUCAUCGCAAGAGUGAUUUCCAAGGUCAGUUGAACAUUCAGUAAUUCAGAUUUGCAAUUUUAUCGAAGCUUAAUAACUAAAUUUGGAGCCGAAUUUUAAUUGAUCUCUAAAAGAGUUAUUAAUAUUGUUUGUUUUAGGUUUUUGAUUUUAGAGAUUUGAAAUCAAAAAUCAAAUCAGAAACUAAAAAUUUCAGAUUCAAAGAUUUUCCAACAUGAUUUUGGUGUAUAUUUGUAUUGAAAAUCGACUUGAGAUUAUUAUCAUUGAAAAUAGGUAUCAUUCUGCUUUGUUUUAGGUUUUUGAAUCUGAUUUUGGUGUAUAUAUUUGAUUCAUUACAGUAAAUAGUGAUCCUUAAUAUAUUCAGUUUAAGUGUUUGAUGAAUGUUAUUGUUAUGGUGGUGGACGCUUGUUCACACCGGAGGUGAUAUAACAACAGUUAAGGUUGGUGUUGUUGUUGUGGAGGUGGUGGAGGUGGAUGUUACAGCACUAGUGUUGGUACUUGUUGGUUGGGGGUGGAAGUGGAAUUUGUAAAGUUGGUAGACUAGUGGGUGGAGGCGGAGUUUGGAGAUGGUGCUGGUUGUGGAAUUGUAAUUGAAGUUGGUACAUUCUGUCUUGUUUUAACCACAAGCUGUGAACUAGAACUAUGGUGUAUAUCUAUUUUUAAGAAAUUAAGUGGACUGGAAUGGUAAUGCAAGUGUUUGAUGAAUGACAUUCAUAAAUUCUUUUUGUUUGGGAUAUUUUAAUGGUGUCGGUACUUCUACAUAGUUCUCAUAUACGUGGGAGGAAAGUGGGCUCCUGAAGGUUCUGUUGCUUUCGUUGGAUUAGAGGACAUUACCAUCGGAAAAUAUAUGUGAGACAUUGUUGUAAUUAUAGUAUUAAUUUUUAACGUACGUUAUAUGUAGCACCAAUUCAAAGAUCAUUUUUACUUACCGAUGGUUGCACUAGACAUAUUUAAUCUUUCCAUGUCAAUUUAAUAAUGUAUAGUAUUACACGCGAAGUGCUGCAGCUGUUGUUCAUUAGUAUAAAAUCCAGGAUUAUGGUUAUAAUAUUACCGAUGAUUUUUACUUACCGAUAGUUAUAAAAUGCUUUUCAUAUGGUUAGCUAAUUGUUUCUAGUGAAGAUUAUUCAUUUUCAUUAGUAUCUAGGAUGGAUUUUAUUUAUUUUUGUGGCGGAAUUGAUGCUGCAAUAGAGAUGAUAGUAGUAGUUGCAGUACUGGUGUUGGUAAUGUCUGUUGUGCAUGUGGUAAUGCUGGUUUUUGUUGUACUAAUGAGGGGGUGUUGCAGUGUUAUGAAUCCAAUGGCAUCAAACAAGAUGAAAUCCAGCCUUAUCUCUUAACAAACUAGAUGUGUACUAGUACUGAUGCCGGUGUUAGUGUUUGUAACAGUAGUGGCGGUGGAUGUUUUAGCAUUAUUGUUAUGGAAUUUGGUGGUUCGCUAGAUUGUGGUUGUGUAUUGGUGAUGGACUGAUGGUAUUGGUGGUACUAUUGCUGUUGGUGUUAGUGGUGGAGCAAGAAGUCAGUAUGCUCUUGGUAUGUUUAACCACUUAUUGUUUUCAGUGUAUAUUGCAGGUAUGUAAGAGAUGAUCAUUUUCCUUUUUAUGGUUGCAUUUGUUGAUGGUGCUUCAGUUCUUGAUCCUAUCUCUCAAGAUGAAUCUUUGGUGCAAUGGUAGCACAACUGACUCCACGUCAGAAAAUGCAUGUUCGAUUCAUGUCAGGUUCAUUAAUUUUAGUGUAUCAAUUUUUGGGAUCAACUUUGAUUGUUGACACCAGAUUUUGGGAUCAACUUUGAUUGUUGACACCAGAAUUUGGGAUCAACUUGGGCUGUUGACGUCAGAAUUUGGGAUCAACUUUGGUUGUUGACGUCAUUUUUCUUUUCUUCUUAUUUUUUGAUUUUUGUUUUUUGUUUUAGGGGAUCAACUUCGUUUGUUGACGCCGGAAUUUUGGAUCAACUUUGGUUGUUGACGCCUAUUAUUUAUUUCUUUUUCUUUUUUUAUUUUCUGAUUUUUGUUUUGGGGAUCAACUUCGAUCGUUGAUACCAUAAUUUGGGAUCAACAUUGAUUGUUGACGCAUAUUUUUUUUCUUUUUAUUUUCUGAUUUUUGUUUUUUGGAUCAACUUCGUUUGUUGAUACCAGAUUUUGGAAUCAACUUCGGUCGUUAACGCCAUAUUAUUAUUAUUAUUAUUAUUUUCUUAUUUUCUGAUUUUUGUUUUGGGGAUCAACUUCGGUUGUUGACACCAGAUUUUGAGAUAACUUCAGUUGUUGACGCGAUAUUAUUCUUCUAUUUCUUAUUUUUUGAUUUUUUUUCGGGAUCAACUUUGGUUGUUGACACCAUCGCGACGGCGACGAAGACGAUAGUGGUGGUGGUGGAGUGGUGGUGGAAUAUUGGUGGUGGCGGCGGUUAGUUGGUGGUGGAUUAAUGGUGGUUGAAUGUUGGUGGUGGUGGUGGAUAUAUGGUGGUGCUAGUGGUGGCGAUAUGGUGGUGGCAGCGGCAGCGGUGAAGUGGUAGAGAAAGAAAUUUGUUGUUUUUUGAAAUAAAGAAAAAUAUUAUAUGUAUGAGGGUAUUAAUGUAAUCUAAUUUUAAAUGGAUAAGAUUUUUAAAUGAUAGUGGUAUAUAUAUUGUUGUA